GUGCUUAUUUAGGCAGGUAGUAUAUAUAUUAAAAUUGGAAAGAUACGGAGAUUAAAUAGUAUAGCCCUUGUACAACAAGGAUGGCAUGCAAAUUCAUGAAGUGUUCCAUUUUUUA
RNAcentral lists this small nuclear RNA (115 nucleotides) under Pteropus alecto (black flying fox). RNAcentral also lists the same sequence under 1 other name. Lineage: Eukaryota; Metazoa; Chordata; Mammalia; Chiroptera; Pteropodidae. The record is from RNAcentral.